RNAcentral lists this long non-coding RNA (221 nucleotides) under Elaeis guineensis (African oil palm). RNAcentral describes it as "long non-coding RNA (EGUI_LNC074622)". The record is from RNAcentral. Lineage: Eukaryota; Viridiplantae; Streptophyta; Magnoliopsida; Arecales; Arecaceae.
GGGUACUUUUAUGGUGUGUAGGGGUGCCACUGUGAUGUACCAAGAAGAAGAACCAUAAAAUGAAUAUUUUAUAUUGAUGUAUGUUAUUAGAACUUCAUGCAUGUGAUAUGCUUAAGAUGUUAUGUUAUAAUCAUGUUGUAUGAUUAUGAUUUCAUGUCUUAGAGAUAUGAUUAGAUACCAUGAUUAGUUGUUAUAUUUAUUAAAAUACAGCUAUAAUAGUG